UACGGGAGGCAGCAGUGGGGAAUAUUGCACAAUGGGCGCAAGCCUGAUGCAGCCAUGCCGCGUGUAUGAAAAAGGCCUUCGGGUUGUAAAGUACUUUCAGUCGUGAGGAAGGUGUUAAGGUUAAUAACCUUAGCAAUUGACGUUAGCGACAGAAGAAGCACCGGCUAACUCCGUGCCAGCAGCCGCGGUAAUACGGAGGGUGCGAGCGUUAAUCGGAAUUACUGGGCGUAAAGGGCACGCAGGCGGUUAAUUAAGUUGGAUGUGAAAUCCCCGGGCUUAACCUGGGAAUGGCAUUCAAGACUGGUUAGCUAGAGUCUUGUAGAGGGGGUAGAAUUCCAUGUGUAGCGGUGAAAUGCGUAGAGAUGUGGAGGAAUACCGGUGGCGAAGGCGGCCCCGUGGACAAAGGACUGACGCUCAUGUGCGAAAGCGUGGGGAGCAAACAGGGAUUAGAU
RNAcentral lists this ribosomal RNA (452 nucleotides) under uncultured bacterium. Its description in RNAcentral is "bacterial SSU rRNA". It matches the Rfam family "Bacterial small subunit ribosomal RNA", at positions 340 to 783 of the family's 1533-position model. The record is from RNAcentral.